UACAGAGGGUGCGAGCGUUGUCCGGAAUUACUGGGCGUAAAGGGCGCGUAGGCGGUUCGGUAAGUAGGAGGUGAAAUUUCGGGGCUCAACCCUGAAACUGCCUUCUAAACUGCCGAACUGGAGCACGGUAGAGGCAGAUGGAAUUCCCGGUGUAGCGGUGGAAUGCGUAGAGAUCGGGAAGAACACCAGUGGCGAAGGCGGUCUGCUGGGCCUAUCCUGACGCUGAGGAGCGAAAGCGUGGGGAGCAAACCGG
This 253-nucleotide ribosomal RNA is filed under the name uncultured bacterium. RNAcentral describes it as "partial 16S ribosomal RNA". It matches the Rfam family "Bacterial small subunit ribosomal RNA", at positions 524 to 776 of the family's 1533-position model. The record is from RNAcentral.